RNAcentral lists this ribosomal RNA (788 nucleotides) under uncultured Lactobacillus sp. RNAcentral describes it as "bacterial SSU rRNA". It matches the Rfam family "Bacterial small subunit ribosomal RNA", at positions 28 to 776 of the family's 1533-position model. Lineage: Bacteria; Bacillati; Bacillota; Bacilli; Lactobacillales; Lactobacillaceae. The record is from RNAcentral.
GACGAACGCUGGCGGCGUGCCUAAUACAUGCAAGUCGAGCGAGCUUGCCUAGAUGAAUUUGGUGCUUGCACCAAAUGAAACUAGAUACAAGCGAGCGGCGGACGGGUGAGUAACACGUGGGUAACCUGCCCAAGAGACUGGGAUAACACCUGGAAACAGAUGCUAAUACCGGAUAACAACACUAGACGCAUGUCUAGAGUUUAAAAGAUGGUUCUGCUAUCACUCUUGGAUGGACCUGCGGUGCAUUAGCUAGUUGGUAAGGUAACGGCUUACCAAGGCAAUGAUGCAUAGCCGAGUUGAGAGACUGAUCGGCCACAUUGGGACUGAGACACGGCCCAAACUCCUACGGGAGGCAGCAGUAGGGAAUCUUCCACAAUGGACGCAAGUCUGAUGGAGCAACGCCGCGUGAGUGAAGAAGGGUUUCGGCUCGUAAAGCUCUGUUGGUAGUGAAGAAAGAUAGAGGUAGUAACUGGCCUUUAUUUGACGGUAAUUACUUAGAAAGUCACGGCUAACUACGUGCCAGCAGCCGCGGUAAUACGUAGGUGGCCAGCGUUGUCCGGAUUUAUUGGGCGUAAAGCGAGUGCAGGCGGUUCAAUAAGUCUGAUGUGAAAGCCUUCGGCUCAACCGGAGAAUUGCAUCAGAAACUGUUGAACUUGAGUGCAGAAGAGGAGAGUGGAACUCCAUGUGUAGCGGUGGAAUGCGUAGAUAUAUGGAAGAACACCAGUGGCGAAGGCGGCUCUCUGGUCUGCAACUGACGCUGAGGCUCGAAAGCAUGGGUAGCGAACAGG